Meriones unguiculatus (Mongolian gerbil) is the source of this 103-nucleotide small nuclear RNA. NCBI's taxonomy places the organism in Eukaryota, Metazoa, Chordata, Mammalia, Rodentia, Muridae. The record is from Ensembl.
GUGCUUUCUUCAGCAGCAUAUAUAAUAAAAUUGGAACGAUACAAACAAGAUUAGCAUGGCUCCUGUACAAGGAGCUUACUACUUUGUAGUGUUUCUGUUUUUC